Haplochromis burtoni (Burton's mouthbrooder) is the source of this 899-nucleotide non-coding RNA. Lineage: Eukaryota; Metazoa; Chordata; Actinopteri; Cichliformes; Cichlidae. The record is from the annotation of a RefSeq genome assembly.
UAUACUUGCUGUAGCUCACAGUUACUCUACACUGCAGAUAUGACGCCUCUGUUCAUCUCAGUGCUGCUGGCUGCUAUGUGCCUCGAAUGCAGAGCACAAAAAGACAACGUGCUGCAAUCAAAAGGAGAAGAGACUGCUGCUGCAGGAGGCACAGUAACACUUGGCUGUCUCUAUAACAGCAGUACAACAACUAAUUAUCUCUUCUGGUACAAACAGGAUGGAAACAACAGCCCCAAAUUCAUCCUGAUGCGCUAUAGUGGGGAUGAUGGAAACACAGCAGAGGAGUUCAAGGAGAGAUUUUCAUCCACACUGGAUUCCAGCAGCAGAUCAGUUCCUCUGAAGAUCCAGAAGCUUCAGCUGUCUGACUCUGCUGUGUACUACUGUGCUCUGCAGCCCACAGUGACAGGAAACAGCAAAACUCUGUACAAAAACCUUUGGAGCAAAGACAACAGAAUACUCCACAACAUCCACUAGAGGGAGCCACACACUGUUAAACUUCUCUCCAGUCAGAAUUACAGUCUUUACUUGUUUGAUCACAUUGAUGGAAAGCGUUAAGGCCUAUUAUUUUCUCUCUUCUUUCUACAUUUCUCAUUUCAGUGUCUGAUCGAUGCACUCCUCCACUUUUCAUCAGGACCAAAUUCUGUGGGUCCUUCCAAUAUUUGCCAGUGAAAUAUAGUACAGUGGUCCCUCGGAACAUGGGGAACAGAGCCUUCAGUUGCUCUCUUCCUCAAGCCAUAAGAAAUAAAAACUCUCUUCCUGUGUUUAAGUCACAGCUCAAAACACAUCUGUUCAAACUGGUUUAUUCACUUUAGUGCUGAUUUUCUGUUGUCAAGUUCUGUUUUGCAAUUUUAACUUAUUUUAUGUAUUUUAUGACUAUUGCUCCUUUUAUUAAUUUUGUU